CCAACCCAGUAUCCCUGUGCGUUGUUUGCCGUUGUCGUUCGCUUGCUUUCUUUUGUGCCGUUAUUAUUCGGUUGUUGUUCUCCGCUACAUCAUGAAGCUCUAUGGCCUGCUGAUUCUAAAGCCCCAUCCGCCGGGUGUCGAGAAGGACCCGGUCAUUUGCUGUAGCGCUGUCGACGUCAGCUCGUUCGGCUUCUUCCAGCGCAGUUCUGCCCGCGAAUUCAUUGUGUUUCUCUCCCGAACAGUGGCUAAGCGGGUGGCUCUCGGCGCCAAGACGCAGAUCACAGAAAACGGCAAUGUUGUGUAUGCGCAUGCGACGCUGGACGGUCUCGUGGCAAUCGCAGUGAGCGACAUCGAGUACAACGCGCGUGUCGCCUUCACGCUCUUGACGGAGUUGAUGCUGCAGUUCCAGCAGACGUUCCGCGGUAAGUACGAGUCCGUGGGGGGCAAGGCGGAUGAGUUUCUGCACUGGCCCCACAUCAACGAGACACUGGAGAAGUAUCAGAAGCCGGAGGAGGUAGACAAGAUCUUGCGCAUCAAGCGUGACAUCGAGGACACAAAGGUGAUCAUGUACAACGCGAUUGACCAAAUCAUCGAACGGGGACAGAAAAUCGACGACUUGGUGGCGCAGAGCGAGGAUCUUGGCAUGGCUAGCAAGACAUUUUACACGCAAGCAAAGCAGACAAACUCGGGGUGCUGCGCAGUCAUGUGAUGUGGAAAUGGAGGGGCAAUCGCUACUUGGCGAGGAAGCACUGUAGAGUGAAGGAGCGUAGGUGGGACACGCAGCGUACCUUGCCUGUGUGCAAAACGGCAAGUGGUAUGCCUGUGCGCGGGAAAACAUCUUUGCUUUCUCUGGUUCUCUUUUUUUUUUGGAGGGAGCCAGACGUUGCCGUGGCCGCAGUGGCUGCCACGCGUUCUACGUGAAUUCGUUGCCUUUUCCUCGUUCUUUUUCUCCCCCUCCUCUUUACUUCAGCACUUUGCUUUUUUUCUUCUCCAUCCGUGUCUGUGUUGUCUGCUGAUGUGUCGCUGAUCCGGGAAUCAUGUACGUGUGCGCAUCUCUCUCUCUGUGCUUCGUUUCCUCUCAGCUUGUGCCGUUUGAUGACCCUUUUCAUCGACCUGACAUACACGCAGAGGCGCCUGGAGGGCUCCCUGUUCGCCCCCUCCUCCUCCUCCCUCCCUCCCGUCAGCUUCUCCCCAAAUGAGACUUGGAUGGUGUUGGGCAGCGUUUUCCCGGCCAAAGUCCCCGCUCACGCACUCACCAACACGCGCGAGUGGUUGCACCUGGAGAGGGGGACGGUGAUGUGCUUUCGCGCUUCCCUUUGUGCAUCUGUGUCACCUCGCGAUCGUGCGCUUCGCUGAAUGACGAUAGUGCCUGCUCGGAUGUGGAUGGACAUCGGCACUGCAGGGCCGGCGUGUACCCUCGCUUACCCCUCGCGUGGCUCGCAGGGAAAAAGGGGGGGGGAGCAGUGCGCGGCUCAACUGCGCAGGGGUAGAAAAAAAAAGGAGCAUGAAGUUGGGGUGCAGGCGAUAGACUCUUGCAGCCCGUUUAUUCCCGUGUCCGCCAUCCCCCUCCCCCUUUUCCCCGCCCGUCACACUCGAUGCGCAUUACCCUUAUUGUUGUACUUCUUUGGUUGCUAUCCUAUCAGCUAUGGAUGCUCUGUG
RNAcentral lists this unclassified non-coding RNA (1659 nucleotides) under Leishmania donovani. Its description in RNAcentral is "gene:LdHU3.35.2750(CDS-product:R-SNARE_protein_pu tative)". The record is from RNAcentral. Lineage: Eukaryota; Euglenozoa; Kinetoplastea; Trypanosomatida; Trypanosomatidae.